Molecule: long non-coding RNA, 503 nt
Filed under: Solanum tuberosum (potato)
Lineage: Eukaryota; Viridiplantae; Streptophyta; Magnoliopsida; Solanales; Solanaceae
Description: long non-coding RNA (STUB_LNC011684)
Source: RNAcentral
UUACCCUUUAAUUUUAAAAAUAGAAUUAAAAAAUGGCUUGAAAAAAUUAGUAAUUUUGAAAAGAAUAAAACAAAAGAAAGCUAUAUCCUCCCCAUAAAUCACUUCGACAAGAAAGAAUAACUAGUUACAAUUUUAAAAGAGAUAAUUUAUGGUGAUCUCCUGGAAGGAGAAAUUGAGUCUUUAAUUUGAUUUACUUAGUUUACAUUUGUUUUAAUGAUUUUGGCUCUCUUAUUCUUCUUUAUGAAUGAUAAUGGAAGCUUUUGAAAAUUUUGUUUAGAUGGAGAUGAGAAAUAGGUGUAGUGUAUAUUAUUUUUCUUAUGAGGAUAUAGAGCAUGACCUCAAAUGGCAAAAGAAAGAAGUUGAGGAGAAGGGUUUAUGGUGGUGAUGGUGAAAGAAAGCAAAUUUGUUAAAUCUAUCAUGCUUUUUUUUUCUUGAUUAGUUUUAGGGUUAAAGGACUAAAAUGAUCAUCUUUUCAUAUACAUUAAGGACCAUAUGGAUCAUAU